This 305-nucleotide ribosomal RNA is filed under the name Escherichia coli. RNAcentral's name for it is "partial 16S ribosomal RNA". It matches the Rfam family "Bacterial small subunit ribosomal RNA", at positions 1233 to 1533 of the family's 1533-position model. Lineage: Bacteria; Pseudomonadati; Pseudomonadota; Gammaproteobacteria; Enterobacterales; Enterobacteriaceae. The record is from RNAcentral.
GCGACCUCGCGAGAGCAAGCGCGACCUCGCGAGAGCAAGCGGACCUCAUAAAGUGCGUCGUAGUCCGGAUUGGAGUCUGCAACUCGACUCCAUGAAGUCGGAAUCGCUAGUAAUCGUGGAUCAGAAUGCCACGGUGAAUACGUUCCCGGGCCUUGUACACACCGCCCGUCACACCAUGGGAGUGGGUUGCAAAAGAAGUAGGUAGCUUAACCUUCGGGAGGGCGCUUACCACUUUGUGAUUCAUGACUGGGGUGAAGUCGUAACAAGGUAACCGUAGGGGAACCUGCGGUUGGAUCACCUCCUUA